UACGUAGGGGGCAAGCGUUGUCCGGAAUUAUUGGGCGUAAAGAGCUCGUAGGCGGUCCGUUAAGUCGGAUGUGAAAUCUCAGGGCUUAACCCUGAAAUUGCAUCCGAUACUGUCGGACUUGAGGCAGGUAGAGGAGAACGGAAUUUCUGGUGUAGCGGUGAAAUGCGCAGAUAUCAGGAGGAACACCGGUGGCGAAGGCGGUUCUCUGGGCCGGAACUGACGCUGAGGAGCGAAAGCGUGGGGAGCAAACAGG
RNAcentral lists this unclassified non-coding RNA (253 nucleotides) under uncultured Euzebyales bacterium. Its description in RNAcentral is "contains 16S-23S intergenic spacer region". It matches the Rfam family "Bacterial small subunit ribosomal RNA", at positions 524 to 776 of the family's 1533-position model. Lineage: Bacteria; Bacillati; Actinomycetota; Nitriliruptoria; Euzebyales. The record is from RNAcentral.